GUUGGAUUUCGAGACAUUUAAUUCGAAAUCUCGCAAGAUUUUUGGUAUUUCCGAUGAGAUUAGAAUUCUGACGUAGCGGCAUUUUCGAUCGGGAAAGGUAGAGGGGUUGAAUUGUGGAGAAUUUUGAAAUUCAAUGCAUCCAGAGGGCUGAAGCGAAAAAUUUGGAAGUUUGAGUGGACAAAUUUGGAGGUUCAAGGGUUAAGAGCUAAAUUUCAACGUGGUUAGCUCGCAAUUUGCAAGGAUUUUUGCUAUUCGAAAUGAAAUCGAUAUUCUGAUUGUUGCGGGAACGAAGAGCUCGAUUGGCCAUGGGCGAACG
This 316-nucleotide unclassified non-coding RNA is filed under the name Bombus terrestris (buff-tailed bumblebee). Its description in RNAcentral is "misc RNA ENSBTSG00005029121.1". Lineage: Eukaryota; Metazoa; Arthropoda; Insecta; Hymenoptera; Apidae. The record is from RNAcentral.